AAAGCAACAGCGUUUUUACAUUUCCGAUCGAUAAGUUUACAUUAAAAGAAAAAAGUAAAGAAGCCGUUUCGAUUAACGUUAACGGCAACAAUCCUGUUAGCCAUUAUACUGAAGUAAUUCGAUUCAAGGCAUGUAACGAUUAUUCUAUUGAACUUUUUUUAUUAUGUGAAAUUAAAAAUAUAAAAUUGGUUUUACAGAAAACUUUAUAUAUAUUUGAAAAUAACAAAAUAGGAGAUACAAUAAAUGAAAAAAUAUUAAUAAGAAAUGAUGAAGAUACAGAUUUAGAUGUAGAAGUUAUAAAUUCAGGAUAUUUUUUUUAUAUAAAAAAUAAAAAAUUUAUAAUAAAAAAAAAUAGUUUCCAUUCUAUAUAUCUAGUAUGUAAUUGUAUUUAUCCAAUUAAUGUUUAUAAAAGAAUAUAUUUUUUAGUACACUUGAAUAAAAAAAUAUUUUAUAUAGAUAUCAUUUGCAACUUUUCUAUAAGCUAUAAAAUGCCUCCUUUGUCUAUUCAUCAUAUAUAUAGAUAUAAACGUUUAAUUCAUGACAAAAAUAUAGUAUACAAUUCAUAUUAUGAAAAAGAUGAGUAUAUUGACAUAUGGGAUUUUCCAGUCGAGUUUGAUUCAUAUGAAGAUACCGCAUACGAGUUACUGAAUGACAUCUUGGAAAUAAGUGAAAAAGACGUAUUUGCAGUACCUAAAGAAUUAGAAGUACGAGAAAUGGAAGAAAAAGAUUUAAUGCUAAUAAAUAAAACGCCAGUUGAAUAUAUAUGUGUAUGGUUAAAUGCAGUUGAUAAACUGGAGCAGGGAAUUUUUGAAGUAACUCCUAAAGAAGCACCAUUGUUGCCAUUCGGCUAUCAAAAAUUUAGGUACAUUUAUAUUUAACUAUGUUUGUUCUCAUAUGCAUGUGCAUAUUUCAUUUAUUUAUUCUAUAUAUUUAGUCUCUUUUUCAGUUAUACACGUUAAUCUUUUCACUUUUUUUUUUUUUUUUUUUUAAGAGUAAAAAAUAUAAAAAGUUUGAAAAAGAAAUAUGUUUGUGAAGUAUACGAAUGUAUUGUGUUUCCGUCUAACAACAAAGACUAUACGAAAUGCAACAGCAAAACAUUAUUAACACCCUUCUUUAUAUAUGCUACUUUUUUUCAAUUUAAUACAAAAUAUAUGUGUGAAACAGAAAACGUGAAAGACAGU
RNAcentral lists this long non-coding RNA (1181 nucleotides) under Piliocolobus tephrosceles (Ugandan red Colobus). RNAcentral's name for it is "lncRNA (ENSPTEG00000010748.1)". Lineage: Eukaryota; Metazoa; Chordata; Mammalia; Primates; Cercopithecidae. The record is from RNAcentral.